Molecule: long non-coding RNA, 2052 nt
Organism: Ursus maritimus (polar bear)
Lineage: Eukaryota; Metazoa; Chordata; Mammalia; Carnivora; Ursidae
Source: Ensembl
CCUUGUUCUAGAAACUGCAGCUGGGCCAGCCCAUGGUGAGUCCCUGGGGAGUCAGUCCAAUGUCUCAACAGUCACAAGAAUGCUUGCCUGCAGACAGGGCAACCACAGGCUCCAGACCAUCACGCCAAGCCCCGGUCUGUCUACCUUUUUCUAAAGAAGAGAGCAAGGCUGGGAACAGCCCCAACAAUGCUUCCAACAUUCCUAAUUUUAUCUCUGGUUUUGAAAGGACGUCUUGUUUGACUUAAGAGCAGGAGUAAGAGGUAAUGGAUCAUAGCAAUGACCCGCAAUUUACAGGUGAGGAGCUUCCUUGUCCAGCUGGUCAUCCAAGCCCUGAUGGAGCACAGGCUCUGGUUCCAAGCAGCGUGGGUUCAAAAGUCAGCUCGAACACUCAUUGGUUGUGCAACCUUGAAUAUGGAUCUUAACCUCUCUGUGCCUCAGUUUCAUCACUUGGAAAAUGGACACAAGGACAGUGUGGCAAGCAAAAUAAUGAUCCCCAUGGGGCACCUGGGUAGCGCAGUCGUUAAAGCGUCUGCCUUCCGCUCAGGGCGUGAUCCUGGCGAUCUGGGAUCGAGUCCCACAUCAGGCUCUUCCGCUAUGAGCCUGCUUCUUCCUCUCCCACUCCCCCUGCUGUGUUCCCUCUCUCGCUGGCUGUCUCUCUGGCACAUAAAUAAAUAAAAUCUUUAAAAAAAAAAAAAAAAGAAUAAUGAUCCCCAAGGAUGUCCACACCAUAACCGCCAGAACCUGUGAAGGUGCUCCCUCACCUGGAAAAUGGACUUUGUGUGAUUACGGCUACAGACCUCUUGGUGAAAGAUUAAAUUAUCUGGAUGGACCCUAUCUAAUCAUUUCCAUCACUAAAAAAUGAAAGAACCUUUCCCAGAGGUGGUCAAAGAGAAAGACGUUAUGAUAGAAGAAAGGCUUGCUGGGAAGUUGAGGAAAAGGCCCAAAGACUGAAAAUCGGCUUCCUCUGACUAGAAGAGAUAGGUGACUAGGUAUCCCCACAAAGUGCUGAGGAAGAACGUCACAAACCUCAGAAUUUUCCAGUAGCCACAUUUUUUUAAAAGUAAGAAGAAAAAGACAAACAGAGCUUUAACAAUAUAUUUAACCCAAUGCAUACAAAAUUUUGUCAGUUUAGUACAUGAUCAGUAUAAAAAUUGCUACUGAGAUAUUUUACCUUUUUUUGUACUAAGUCUUUGAAAUUAAUGAGUAUUUUACACUUACCACUGACUUUGAUUUGGACAACCCACAUGUCACGUGCUCCGUAGCCACAUGAGACCGGCGGCUACUGUAGUGAACAGUGAAGCCUACAGAGCGUACGACAGAGCCUCUGGACGGAAGGACAGCAGGCAGAGCUGCAAGUUAAGACACUUUCCUGUAAAAUGGGGGUUAAGUAGAAGCUUGAAUCCUGAAAGCUGAAACUUGCUUCUCUAUCACACUAUUCCCCACAGCCUCCUUCCUCCCACUUGGCUUUCAAAACUCAGACAGCGAAGUUUACAGCAGGAAGGCAGUUUCCAAACAAGGGCACACAGCCAAGAAUCACCAGACAUUUGAGGAAAGUGUUUAGUGUGAAAUAUAGAGAACAAACAAUGUUGGGAGAUAAUUCUUUAUGAGUCUCUCACAUUUCUGGAUAUUUCUCAAGUCCAGGCCCUGUGCUUUUGCUCCAGGCUAUCUUUUCAAAGAUGUAUAAAUGGCAAAAUGCCUUGAAAGAUAGAGAUAAUGUUUCCCUCCCAGCAGAGGGCACGUUUGUUUUCUGUCCAGUACACUCCCAAGCAAAAGUCAGAAAGACUGCCUAUGUGUUAUAAGAGAUUAGGGCUCCCUAAGCUCGGGGUUACUCUCCCAUAACCCAUUGUGUAUGCAAGCAUCACCCGGCCUUCUUUGUGUUGCCCUGUGGGAAAUUAUGCUCUGGAAACUGUGCAAAUGCUGAUACACAGCUAUGAUUAUUUCAGUGGAAGUUAAAGGACAACAGAGAAUUGCCUUUAAAAUUGGGAGAGAUCACUAUUCAGCCAAACACUCAGCUUAGUGUGAAAGUAGAAUAAAAAUAUUAUCAAAUAUCCA